Long non-coding RNA from Apodemus sylvaticus (European woodmouse), 1820 nucleotides. RefSeq lists it as uncharacterized. The record is from RefSeq and is a predicted model, not a curated record. The transcript has 3 exons. NCBI's taxonomy places the organism in Eukaryota, Metazoa, Chordata, Mammalia, Rodentia, Muridae.
GGGUGAAACAGCUCGCCCUCAGGAGAGCCCCAGCCACAGGGUUCUGCCAGCUGCUGCUGCGUAUCCUCCCACAGGUUGUUCUGUCGCUCUUUGCUUCAGUAAAAUAGAGGAUAACCGUACCUUGUAGGCCUGGUGUGACAAUUGGAUGCAAUAAAGUUUGCAGGAUGCUCAGCUCCGUGCUCUGCACAUGGGAAGCGUGCAGAAGAGGCCUCCUAGCUGAGGCUGACUAGACAGCAAGUGUUUCAAGCCCACCCGGCUUCACUGCUCACUCCCAGACCUGCCAAUGCAGACAGCACCAGAUCCAGACACUCCCCCUGGCUCCCCAGCCAGCUCCCUUCAGCAUCCAGAACCGUGGACAGACCAUUUCCAUGGCAAUAACCUGCUCUACAAAAGAGGCAAACAAAAGAAGCUCAAGCACUCCUGUUCCUCACGGGAAGGGCAGGGUUAUAUGUGAUCAUCAGCCACGGAGAGGACAGCAGAAGGAGAGAGGCCACGCCAGGGGCAGAGCAAAGAGGCGCUUUUGCUGAGACCUGCAAAGAACCCAGGCCCCUCAAAGGCAGAGCUGUAUCCCAUGUAGGGGAACUGAGCCCAAAGUGUUCACAGACACUAGGAGGCCCCUUCUAUUCUGUUCAACCUUGGUGGCGGAGGAGGGCUGUGGGGGAGACAAUGUGUAUUUAGGUAAAAGCCAAACACUGAAUGGAGACCUGCUAUCUGCUGAUGUCUCUCUCCACAGGCCUCAGCCUCUGUAACAGAGGCACUCAGAGGUCAAAGUACUUGUGAGCUAGUCAACAGCAGUACUGAGAUUUGAACAUGAAGUUGUCUGAGUUCAAUCCUGCCUCUAUGUUUCCCUGUUCUGAACAGUGCUCCUGGGCAUCUAGCUGGCCUGGUCCUAGAAAACCAGCUCUCAGAAGGACCAGAAAAGAACCAUCACCCCAGCCGUUUACUGCCUCUUGGUUGGUCAUGAAAGCAUCCCUCAAGCCUCAAGCCUCCAAACUCCAGAGUCACAUGCCCACAGAAGGAAAGCACCACUGGUGAGCCUCUAACUCCACACAAACACCAUUUCCCUGGGACCAAGGUACCCAGGCCUGCAAGACACCCUGGUAUGCUGCUCUGAUGUUAUUUGGAAUCUGGCACUGAGUAUGACUUUUUUUUAAAAAAACGAAAUCACUUCCUGUUCGACACACAGCUACUAUUGAAGUUUGCCACACUCCCUGCUGGAGCAGAGGGCUCCAGCCCUCUUCUCUGGCUUCCUGCCAAGCACACAGGGGCGGGAAACAGAGCUGGUGGGCAGAGAGGUGGCAGCUGGAGACCAAAGGGAUUAUUUUUCCAUUAUGUCAUGCACUCACUAAGGCUGAUCUCUAAGAAAGUUAUUGAUUUGGGUGGAUAUGUUUUGUUACCAGCCCACUUACCUAAUUCUCUCACUAAUUCUCUACUCCUAUAGCUUCCCCAUUGACUCCUCUGGCGUUUCUAAAAUAAAUAAUAACAUAAUCCGCGCAUAAUGUUAAUUUGGUAUUCUUCUUCCAGAUGUGUAAUUACCAUUUGUGACUGCUUCUUCUCUGUCAUUGACUGGGAAAUCCUCAACGACCACAGUGCUCGGAGCAAUCAUCUUUCAUUUAUUCUUAACGUUAACGGGAGUUGCUUCAGUGCCACAGCACUAAGUAGGGCUCUGACUAUGGGUGGCCGUGGAGCGGCUCCAUCCUGCUGGGAAUACGCCUUCUUAUUCUUUCUCUGUCCUCACCAAUAAUGAAAACCGGGGCUUUAACAAGGGAGGUUUGAACAUUCACGGAAAUGAUCAUUUUUUCCUUUGUCAUAUUGAUUGC